CAGCUCACAAUCAGCAUUGAAUCAAUUGGAAAUGUGUGAAUAAACACUAAGUGCACUGAGUUGAGAGAACCAAGAAGAAGAAUCAAUCAUUAUAUGAGAGAGCAUGGGAUUGCCAAUUGGGUCAUCGAAAAGAAAUGAGCCCCAAACACCCAAAACUUUUCCAUUUAACUUAAAUUAUAAUUCAUACAAAAUAAAACACAAAAACAAAACUUGACCAGCAGCUAUAGAGGGGCUAAUGCAUCAACAGUACAUGCACUUAUUGUUAGGAUUGAGCCCUUAAAAGCAAAGUCUUGAUAUAACAUGACUUUAUAUUAUUCAUUAAUAAUAUGGUUUUUCAUUUUUUUCAUGCAUAGCUGAUUGUAUUCACUUACAUCUUUCAGGAUUACCUCUGAAUCCCUUGAGUUUCAGAUCCAUCCUAUGAUCAAUUGACAUCUCUCUAUCCAUUAGGAUAGAUGUCAAAUUUGAUUAAUUUGGAAUUACUAUGGUCAUAGUUUUACUUGAUCAUAUUUGCUUAGAAUCACUCAAGGGGAUAUACUAUCUCGAUCCCAUGAAAUAUCAUGAUGCCCCUAUCAUGAGUAUCAAUUUCUACCUGCCUAGACCACUAACCACCUAAUCCAAAAGGAAUAUAUGAUCCUUUAGGAUCUUAUCCGUAUAGACAAUGUGACUAAUGACCUAAACAUUAGUGCAAUACCCUCUCAAGGUUGAAAACUCAUACAACAUAGUAACUUAGAAAAAUGCAUGUAAUCAAAUAGCCAUUUGGACAUGCUUCUCCAUAUGUCCUAUUCAAUGUAUAACCAUACACUUUUUUUUUUUUUUGAUAGGUAAUGUAUAACCAUACACUUUUUUUUUUUUUUUGAUAGGUAAUGUAUAACCGUACACAUUAGUACACUUACCA
Molecule: long non-coding RNA, 895 nt
Filed under: Vitis vinifera (wine grape)
Lineage: Eukaryota; Viridiplantae; Streptophyta; Magnoliopsida; Vitales; Vitaceae
Description: long non-coding RNA (VVIN_LNC003194)
Source: RNAcentral